GUCGAGCGAAUGAUGAGGAAGCUUGCUUUCUCUGAUUUAGCGGCGGACGGGUGAGUAACACGUGGGCAACCUACCUUAUAGUUUGGGAUAACUCCGGGAAACCGGGGCUAAUACCAAAUAAUCUCUUUUACUUCAUGGUGAAAGACUGAAAGACGGUUUUGGCUGUCGCUAUAGGAUGGGCCCGCGGCGCAUUAGCUAGUUGGUGAGGUAACGGCUCACCAAGGCAACGAUGCGUAGCCGACCUGAGAGGGGGAUCGGCCACACUGGGACUGAGACACGGCCCAGACUCCUACGGGAGGCAGCAGUAGGGAAUCUUCCACAAUGGGCGAAAGCCUGAUGGAGCAACGCCGCGUGAGUGAAGAAGGAUUUCGGUUCGUAAAACUCUGUUGUAAGGGAAGAACAAGUACAGUAGUAACUGGCUGUACCUUGACGGUACCUUAUUAGAAAGCCACGGCUAACUACGUGCCAGCAGCCGCGGUAAUACGUAGGUGGCAAGCGUUGUCCGGAAUUAUUGGGCGUAAAGCGCGCGCAGGUGGUUUCUUAAGUCUGAUGUGAAAGCCCACGGCUCAACCGUGGAGGGUCAUUGGAAACUGGGGAACUUGAGUGCAGAAGAGGAUAGUGGAAUUCCAAGUGUAGCGGUGAAUGCGUAGAGAUUGGAGGAACACCAGUGGCGAAGCGACUAUCUGGUCUGUACUGACACUGAGGCGCGAAAGCGUGGGAGCAACAGGAUUAGAUACCCUGGUAGUCCACGCCGUAACGAUGAGUGCUAAGUGUUAGGGGUUCCGCCCCUUAGUGCUGCAGCUAACGCAUUAAGCACUCCGCCUGGGGAGUACGGUCGCAGACUGAACUCAAGGAUUGACGGGGCCCGCACAAGCGGUGGAGCAUGUGGUU
This 891-nucleotide ribosomal RNA is filed under the name Lysinibacillus parviboronicapiens. Its description in RNAcentral is "bacterial SSU rRNA". It matches the Rfam family "Bacterial small subunit ribosomal RNA", at positions 61 to 946 of the family's 1533-position model. The record is from RNAcentral. Lineage: Bacteria; Bacillati; Bacillota; Bacilli; Caryophanales; Bacillaceae.